Molecule: ribosomal RNA, 479 nt
Filed under: uncultured bacterium
Lineage: Bacteria
Description: partial 16S ribosomal RNA
Rfam family: Bacterial small subunit ribosomal RNA
Source: RNAcentral
GACGAACGCUGGCGGCGUGCUUAACACAUGCAAGUCGAGCGAUGAAGCACCUUCGGGUGUGAAUUAGCGGCGAACGGGUGAGGAACACGUGAGAAAUCUGCCUUCAACUCUGGGAUAACUCCGGGAAACCGGGGCUAAUACCGGAUAUGAGCCUUGAUCGCAUGAUCGGGGCUGGAAAGUUUUUCGGUUGAAGAUGAUCUCGCGGCCUAUCAGCUUGUUGGUGAGGUAACGGCUCACCAAGGCGACGACGGGUAUCCGGCCUGAGAGGGCGACCGGACACACUGGGACUGAGACACGGCCCAGACUCCUACGGGAGGCAGCAGUGGGGAAUAUUGCGCAAUGGACGAAAGUCUGACGCAGCGACGCCGCGUGAGGGAUGAAGGCCUUCGGGUCGUAAACCUCUUUCAGUAGGGAAGAAGCGAAAGUGACGGUACCUACAGAAGAAGCACCGGCUAACUAUGUGCCAGCAGCCGCAGUAA